Molecule: ribosomal RNA, 496 nt
Filed under: uncultured Desulfobulbus sp.
Lineage: Bacteria; Pseudomonadati; Thermodesulfobacteriota; Desulfobulbia; Desulfobulbales; Desulfobulbaceae
Description: bacterial SSU rRNA
Rfam family: Bacterial small subunit ribosomal RNA
Source: RNAcentral
GCUCAGAACUUAAAGGAAGUUGACGGGGCCCGCACAAGCGGUGGAGUAUGUGGUUUAAUUCGAUGCAACGCGAGGAACCUUACCUGGUCUUGACAUCCCGGAGACCCUUAGGAAACUAGGGGGUGCUUCCAUCUGGAAGAAUCUGGAGACAGGUGCUGCAUGGCUGUCGUCAGCUCGUGUCGUGAGAUGUUGGGUUAAGUCCCGCAACGAGCGCAACCCUUGCCUUUAGUUGCCAGCAGUUCGGCUGGGCACUCUAAAGGGACUGCCGGUGUUAAACCGGAGGAAGGUGGGGAUGACGUCAAGUCCUCAUGGCCUUUAUGACCAGGGCUACACACGUACUACAAUGGCCGAUACAAAGGGCAGCGACACUGCGAGGUGAAGCCAAUCCCGUAAAAUCGGUCUCAGUCCGGAUUGGAGUCUGCAACUCGACUCCAUGAAGUUGGAAUCGCUAGUAAUCGUGGAUCAGCAUGCCACGGUGAAUACGUUCCCGGGCCUU